UUCCUUUCUUCGGUGAUAAUGUCACGGCUUUGGUGAAUUUUAAAGCAGGUUUAAAAUAUUCCACAAAGCUUUCCACAUUCCAAUUCUCCAGAAUGAGGAUAUUGCGCAGCAGGAGCUGCAAAGCAAUGACCAGCUCUGGACACAAUACUUCAGGAAGGAUGUGCAGGUCUUGGAUCAGGUAAUUUGCUGAACUGCUUUCGGGAAUGAAUGAACAUGGGAAGGAUUCCACAACAAAGUCAAAUUUGGAACCACAUCCUGGAAACCGUCACGGCAUGUCUAACGUAUUCACUAUGUCAGCCCAUACCUGGAAGCAAUAAACAGAACACAGGCUGUACUGGCUAUUUCCAUGUUUUCUGUUUCAGAGUAUGAUAUAAUCAGUGGUAUUAUCCCAGUGGUCAGUGUUUAAAAAAUUCAAUUCUCAAACCUUAUAGAUGGUUAUAGGUCAGUACAGUACCACAUUAUAACCAAGGAAAAACACUCGCCUCCACAGAAUCCCUCAAAAUGCUGUGCAUUCAAUGAAGUAUUUUUUAAAAUUACAAUCGCGGCUGUAUUGCAGGAAACAUUGCUGCCAUUUUGCAUAAAGCAAGUUACCCCAAAGCAAUAAUGUGAUAAUGACCAGAUAAUGCGUUUUAGUGAUGUUGGUUAUGGGAUAAAUAUUAGCCCCAGAACAUUAUAGAGGACACCCACUACUGACAGUAGUGCCAUAGGGAUUUUUACUUUCAUUGACAGGGAAGGCAGGGCCUUGAUGUGACAACUGAGCACAAAGACAGCAGCCUCUAAAAGUGCAGCACUCAUUUAGCACUGUAUUUGUGUGUCACUGUUGGUGUGAUACUCGGAUUACAGCACUUAAAACCUACAGCCUUCUGGCUCAAAGGCAAAAACACGAGCACUGAGCUACAGCUGAAAAUCUAUAGCUUUGCAUAUCUGUCAUCAUAUUACAAUGUCUGUUGUUCAAUAUCCUUCCUUUCUUCAGCGCAAGCUUGGAGGGCUGAAGGGCCUGUUCCUGUGCUGUAAUUUUCUUUGUUCCUUGUUUCUUUCAAAAUGUUAAUGUCCCAGCUUCCUCUGCUGGGUGGUGAUGGAGACAUUACGGUAAUCUGCAUUUACAAGUUCACUGACGACACCAUUGUAGGCCAGAUAUCAAAUAGUGGUGAGACUGAAUACAGCAAAGAUAUAGAAUGCUUGGUGACAUAUUGCAAAGACAACAAUCUCGCCAGCUAUAUUAGCAAAACUAAAGAGCUCAUCAUUGACUUCAGGAAGCAAGAGGAGGACACGUCCCUAUUUACAUCAAUGGAGCUGAGGUGGAGAUGGUCGAGAGGGUCAAGUUCCUAGGAGUGAUGAUCAUCAACAAUCUGCCCUGGACCACUAUGUGGAUGCAACAGUCAUGAAGGCAGAACAAUGCCUCUUCUUCCUCAGGAGGCUACGGAAAUUCAGCAUGUCCAUAAGGACCCUCGCCAACUUUUACAGACGCGUCAUAGUAAGCAUUCUAUCUGGAUAUAUCACCACCUGGUAUGGCAACUGCUCAGCCCAGGACCAUAAGAAGCUACAGAAAGUUGUUUACACAGCCCAGACAAUCACAUAAGCCAACCGUCCAUCCAUAGACUCUAUCUACAUUUCUCGCUGCCUCAGAAUGGUAGCCAAUGCCUUCAAUAACCCUUCCCACUCUAGUUAUAUUCUCUUCUAACCAACUUUGUCAGAGAUAAGAUACAGAAGCUUGAACACAUCCCAACAAGCUCAAGAACAGCAUCUUCUCUGCUGUUAUUAGACUUCUGAAUGGACUUCUCAAAUUUCAAGUCUAAUGUUGAUUUUACUUGUGUGGACCUUCUCUGCAGCUGUAAUUUUGGAUUCCUCACUCUGUUCAA
This is a long non-coding RNA of Stegostoma tigrinum, 1859 nucleotides long. RefSeq lists it as uncharacterized. The record is from RefSeq and is a predicted model, not a curated record. NCBI's taxonomy places the organism in Eukaryota, Metazoa, Chordata, Chondrichthyes, Orectolobiformes, Stegostomatidae. The transcript is spliced from 3 exons.